UACGUAGGUGGCAAGCGUUGUCCGGAUUUACUGGGCGUAAAGGGAGCGUAGGCGGAUUUUUAAGUGGGAUGUGAAAUACCCAGGCUCAACCUGGGUGCUGCAUUCCAAACUGGAAGUCUAGAGUACAGGAGGGGAAAGCGGAAUUCCUAGUGUAGCGGUGAAAUGCGUAGAGAUUAGGAAGAACACCAGUGGCGAAGGCGGCUUUCUGGACUGUAACUGACGCUGAGGCUCGAAAGCGUGGGGAGCAAACAGG
Molecule: ribosomal RNA, 253 nt
Filed under: Clostridium chartatabidum
Lineage: Bacteria; Bacillati; Bacillota; Clostridia; Eubacteriales; Clostridiaceae
Description: partial 16S ribosomal RNA
Rfam family: Bacterial small subunit ribosomal RNA
Source: RNAcentral